AUACUUACCUGGACGGGGUCGACGGCCGAUCAAAAAGGGCUGUGGCCUAGAUCAAUGGCUCACAUUGCACUUGGUGAGCGCGUUGGUUUACCAUCUCCCCAAGUGGGAGAGUGGACGUCAUAAUUUGUGAUAGAGGGGGUACGCGUUCGCGCGGCCCCUG
Molecule: small nuclear RNA, 160 nt
Filed under: Oryza nivara
Lineage: Eukaryota; Viridiplantae; Streptophyta; Magnoliopsida; Poales; Poaceae
Description: U1 spliceosomal RNA
Rfam family: U1 spliceosomal RNA
About the family: U1 is a small nuclear RNA (snRNA) component of the spliceosome (involved in pre-mRNA splicing). Its 5' end forms complementary base pairs with the 5' splice junction, thus defining the 5' donor site of an intron.
Source: Rfam by way of RNAcentral